UUUCUUGGCUGGUAUGACAGUGAUGCAUCUAUAUUGAAAUUUAGUUUUCUUUGCGAAAAUGUGUCUUUAAGUUGAUAUUUUUACAUGAAUUGGCUGCCCAAUUUUAUGUGGUUUUGCUCAAAUAAAGGUUAAAUGCCUUUGCCUGUGAAGUCUAAUUCUUGUAAGAGGAAAUUGCCAAUAACGGUGUCAGUUAUUCUGGAUUCUAAGGAUUUGGACACUUACCCUGUUGGAAAAACGUUGAAAGGUUGUUGACCCAGGCUCAGAAAUCGGUCAUCUUGGAUUUCAAUAAUCACCAUUUCUAGAAACGUUUUGUAGUAUCUGAGAAGGAAUGAAUCGGAACGGAGAAUGAACUGAUGGUCAAUUAACUUUUCAACAACUAAGGAAGAAAUUGGAUGUGAUAGAUACAAUUUUGCAGAUGGAACUUUUGAAACAAGGAAAGGCCCUUCUAGUUCGAAGGGCACUAUAAUUGGCAGUUCUUAUGACAUUCUCCAAGAGUAGAAAGGUAAGGAAGAGCAGGGUUUUUAGUACAGGGUCACUGACUCAUAGUUCAGUGCAAGGUCCAGUGUUGACAGGGAAGAAUAGCAAACUGGUUGCAAAAAGAAAUACAAGGUUGUAGGCCUUGACGACAGCAGGGAUGGUAACCCAGUCUUUUCUAGAUAAAUUUGUUUGGAUUAUUAGGGAUCUGACUGACCCAAAAAACAAACUAAGGUUGUAUUUGGUGUUAAAUUCAAGAGAUAUGCCUUGUGCUCAGAGGAAACAAAGUUUGGAAGAGUUAGUUUGUCAAUUCCAUGGCACGAGGGUGGAUAUUUGCAAAAUGAAGUCCUGGUUUACUAGCAAGAAAUCGGUUUUCUUGAAUCCUUGUAGGGUUGAGACCACUCAGAGUGCAUUUGGCAAUAAAGGAGUUCUUGUACCUACCCCUUAUUUUGUUACUUUUUUUCUCUGCCGCCAACAAUUGCUUACAAAGAAGUCUCUGGAAUCAGAUAUAAUGGCUUAUAAUGCUAGAUGUGCCUGAGACUUACUUCUAUCUUAGAUGAUUUUUUUUUGUCAAAGUACAAAUCAUUUGUUCUUUGGUUGCUCUUCCGCAGGUAAACUUUAAGUUAGAAAAUUUUCAUUUCUGUAAAUUAGGCAGGCAGCAAAGAGAUUGAGUCCUAAGUAGUGACUUCACCUUCUCUGUGGGUUGCAUCAGUCGCUCAUGUUUACCAUGUGGAAAGAGAGGCAUGCAUGGAUGCAUCUGAGUCUGACUAUGUACCAAGAUGGGCACGCUGUUGUUCAAGAACUAGUGGUAGUUAUCAAGUAUAAGAUUAGUAAUAUUGAUAAAGUUAGAAGUACAAGCUUAUAACGGGUUUCUAAUUAUUUCAGUCUUUUUCCUGUUUUUGUUUGUCCUGUUUGAUCUGUAUUACAGUUCAGUCAGUCAGUCUACUUUGAUCUAUUAUUUUGCUGCUUUCGCAAUUUGGUUUAUGUAUCUGAUCUACUCUUGCCUCUUUUGUUAAAUAAUUUAUUAGUUACCCAGACUAAAAGGAUCUUGCUGUAAAUAAGUUUUUUGCAGUUCACUGUUGGAAUUAAAACCAUACCUUGUUUUUUCGUUAGUGCUAGUUCGUGCUUUACGUAAGAGUUGAUGAUUUUACUUACCAUGUAGGUUUUCCUACGAGCUUAGUAUUUUUCUUCUUUUUUUCUUUUUUUUGCAGGUGGCUGAUGAUACUACAAAAGUUAGUAUAAGUUGUUCUAUUACAAUGCUAUACCUUGGUUAAUUACAAACCGGUCAUUCUCUCCUACUUUGGUUAUUGGAGAAAAAGUGUACACUUAUUGGUGUUGAAUAAAAGGUUUUAGCGAACAAUUUGAAAGUUGAGCUUAUUUUUGUAUGACUGGAUGAUAUAUAAUAUUGUACUAGUUGUUUUCUGCGUUGAAGUAUGGGAAACUAGAGUCUAGAGUUGCCCGAACGAUUCGUGUGUAAAGUAACAUGAGAAUGAGUCACCAUGCUGGGCUGUUACGAGGUGCCUUGGGCCAAAUGAGCAAACUAUUUAAGGUACUGUUGGAGUUGAGUUGCUCGUUGAGGUUUGAGAUUGAGGAUUCGUUAAGUUGUUGAAGACGCAGCUUGGACGAGAGG
Non-coding RNA from Prunus avium (sweet cherry), 2104 nucleotides. The record is from RefSeq and is a predicted model, not a curated record. NCBI's taxonomy places the organism in Eukaryota, Viridiplantae, Streptophyta, Magnoliopsida, Rosales, Rosaceae.